This is a long non-coding RNA of Trichoplusia ni (cabbage looper), 575 nucleotides long. RefSeq lists it as uncharacterized. The transcript has 3 exons. The record is from RefSeq and is a predicted model, not a curated record. NCBI's taxonomy places the organism in Eukaryota, Metazoa, Arthropoda, Insecta, Lepidoptera, Noctuidae.
UUCGGCUAAUCUACUAAGAUUAAAAGGCCUGUUUUCUUAUUCAACUGUCAAAGACAGAUUAGUUAUUUACAAAGUUCGCAUUAGUAACCUUCGUUACUCGGUUCAAAUAGAAAAUAAGUACUUGAAAGCCUACAAAAAGGAAUGUUGGUGGAAACUCAUUCAGUUCGACGCGGUCGUUGUAAGCGUACGGACGCCUACGCCGUAGCCGCGCUACGCCGUAGACAGGUUUACGAGUCGCGUGAUAACUUCGUUCGAUUUUGAAAUAUAAGUAUAGUUGUAAGUUAUGAUAAUGAAUUACUGUUUUGUUUUAAAAUAGUUGAGUAUUAAUUUUAAGUGUUUUUUUAUUUAAUAAAACAAUGUUCAGUGACAUUUAGAGAGGGCAGUGACUGAAUAGUGCACACGGUAACCUACUUAAAUGCUUCGUCAUAAAGGGGAGAAUUGGACUGUUUGAGGCGAUGUCGGGUCGCCAUGGGACGGGCUUGUAGUGCGAUGGAGUUAUCAGCAACGUUGCUGGUGUUUCUUCACCUUUCGAUGCACGUCGUCGAUGAGGGCCAUGCGGUUAAUCCCAGUGAGUA